Molecule: unclassified non-coding RNA, 1681 nt
Filed under: Pezizomycotina sp. KO-groupF 2014
Lineage: Eukaryota; Fungi; Ascomycota
Description: partial contains ITS1, 5.8S rRNA, ITS2 and LSU
Rfam family: Eukaryotic large subunit ribosomal RNA (bases 512-1681)
Source: RNAcentral
GGAAGUAAAAGUCGUAACAAGGUUUCCGUAGGUAAGUUAUCACAAAAUAUCCUCCUUCAAGGAAAACCAUCGCUAACAUCGCUUCCAGGUGAACCUGCGGAAGGAUCAUUACAGUGUUAGGCUUCGGCCUCAUUCACACCCCUUGUUGAACCUCUGGUUUCUUUGGCGAUGUCAUGGACUCGUCAAACUUUAACUCUGGUAAUGCGAUAUUGUCCGAGUGCCAUUGAAUUAUAAAAACUUUCAACAACGGAUCUCUUGGUUCCAGCAUCGAUGAAGAACGCAGCGAAAUGCGAUAAAUAAUGUGAAUUGCAGAAUUCCGUGAAUCAUCGAGUUUUUGAACGCACAUUGCACUCCUUGGUAUUCCGAGGAGUACGCCUGUUCGAGCGUCAUUACACUAUCAAGCUUCGCUUGGAUUUGAAUCACUGUCGUGGCAGGAUUCCAAUAUUGUCGGCAAUUGACCAUCUGUGAUGACUCACUCUGAGUUAAUUCGCCGGAAAACUUUCUUUCAAGUUGACCUCGGAUCAGGCGGGGAUACCCGCUGAACUUAAGCAUAUCAAUAAGCGGAGGAAAAGAAACCAACAGGGAUUGCCUCAGUAACGGCGAGUGAAGCGGCAACAGCUCAGAUUUGAAAGCCGAGUCUUUGACUUUGCAUUGUAAUCUGAAGAGGAAAUCUCGCGAACGAUUAGUCUCAAGUCUCCUGGAACGGAGCGUCAUGGAGGGUGAGAAUCCCGUGGAGAUGAAAUCCGACGCAUGUGAGAUUCCUUCGACGAGUCGAGUUGUUUGGGAAUGCAGCUCUAAUUGGGAGGUAAAUUCCUUCUAAAGCUAAAUAUCGGCUGGAGACCGAUAGCGCACAAGUAGAGUGAUCGAAAGAUGAAAAGCACUUUGAAAAGAGAGUCAAACAGCACGUGAAAUUGUUGAAAGGGAAGCGCUGUCCAUCAGACUUGUUGAUCAGGAUCACCUAACGUUCUCGUUGGGGCACUCUUGGUUGGACAGGCCCGCAUCGGUUUGAGCGGUCGGAGAAAGGCCAUGGGAAUGUAGCUCUUCGUGAGUGUUAUAGCCCGUGGUGUAAUACGGCCAGCUUAGACCGAGGUCUGCGCUUCGGCUCGGAUGCGGGCGUAAUGGUGGUCAGCGGCCCGUCUUGAAACACGGACCAAGGAGUCUAACAUCUACGCGAGUGUUUGGGCGUCAAACCCCUACGCGAAAUGAAAGUGAACGGAGGCGAGAGCUUCGGCGCACCGCCGACCGAUCCGGAUGUAUUCGGAUGGAUUUGAGUAUGAGCGUAGCUGUUGGGACCCGAAAGAUGGUGAACUAUGCCUGAAUAGGGUGAAGCCAGAGGAAACUCUGGUGGAGGCUCGCAGCGGUUCUGACGUGCAAAUCGAUCGUCAAAUUUGGGUAUAGGGGCGAAAGACUAAUCGAACCAUCACCGAUGUGCAAUAGGUUUGCUACUGGGUGGUUAAGAGAGAUGCUCUAGUCCUGGCUUCAGGGCGACGUCGUCAAAUUGCGGGAACACUCUGAAGCUUCAAUCACCGCGGCCGACCGAAAGGAAGGUGCAGCACCAGUCGUAAUGGACUGGGGAUGGUAACAGUAUUGAAGAUUGAGCAAUCCGCAGCCAACCCCUUCAAUGGGUGCAGUUCACUGACUAAAUGUCGGCGGGUCUUGCGAGACUUAAGAUAUAGUCGAA